RNAcentral lists this ribosomal RNA (521 nucleotides) under uncultured bacterium. RNAcentral's name for it is "bacterial SSU rRNA". It matches the Rfam family "Bacterial small subunit ribosomal RNA", at positions 777 to 1297 of the family's 1533-position model. The record is from RNAcentral.
AAUAGAUACCCUGGUAGUCCACGCCGUAAACGAUGAGUGCUAAGUGUUAGAGGGUUUCCGCCCUUUAGUGCUGAAGUUAACGCAUUAAGCACUCCGCCUGGGGAGUACGGCCGCAAGGCUGAAACUCAAAGGAAUUGACAGGGGGCCCGCACAAGCGGUGGAGCAUGUGGUUUAAUUCGAAGCAACGCGAAGAACCUUACCAGGUCUUGACAUCCUCUGACAACCCUAGAGAUAGGGCUUCUCCUUCGGGGAGCAGAGUGACAGGUGGUGCAUGGUUGUCGUCAGCUCGUGUCGUGAGAUGUUGGGUUAAGUCCCGCAACGAGCGCAACCCUUGAUCUUAGUUGCCAUCAUUAAGUUGGGCACUCUAAGGUGACUGCCGGUGAAAACCGGAGGAAGGUGGGGAUGACGUCAAAUCAUCAUGCCCCUUAUGACCUGGGGCUACACACGUGCUACAAUGGACGGUACAAAGAGCUGCAAGACCGCGAGGUGGAGCUAAUCUCAUAAACCGUUCUCAGUUCGGA